AUUGAACGCUGGCGGCAGGCCUAACACAUGCAAGUCGAGCGGAUGAAGGGAGCUUGCUCCUGGAUUCAGCGGCGGACGGGUGAGUAAUGCCUAGGAAUCUGCCUGGUAGUGGGGGAUAACGUCCGGAAACGGGCGCUAAUACCGCAUACGUCCUGCGGGAGCAAGUGGGUGAUCUUCGGACCUCACGCUAUCAGAUGAGCCUAGGUCGGAUUAGCUAGUUGGUGGGGUAAAGGCCUACCAAGGCGACGAUCCGUAACUGGUCUGAGAGGAGGAUCAGUCACACUGGAACUGAGACACGGUCCAGGCUCCUACGGGAGGCAGCAGUGGGGAAUAUUGGACAAUGGGCGAAAGCCUGAUCCAGCCAGGCCGCGUGUGCGAAGAAGGUCUUCGGAGUGUAAAGCACUUUAAGUUGGGAGGAAGGGCAGUAAGUUAAUACCUUGCUGUUUUGACGUUACCAACAGAAUAAGCACCGGCUAACUUCGUG
Molecule: ribosomal RNA, 484 nt
Filed under: uncultured bacterium
Lineage: Bacteria
Description: partial 16S ribosomal RNA
Rfam family: Bacterial small subunit ribosomal RNA
Source: RNAcentral